UUACGGUCAUAUCAUGUUGAAACACCGGUUUCCGCACGAUCAGCGAAGUUAAGCAACGUCGAGCCUGAUCAGUACCUAGAUGGGUGAUCACUUGGGAAUACCAGGCGCUGGA
Molecule: non-coding RNA, 112 nt
Organism: Acanthosepion pharaonis
Lineage: Eukaryota; Metazoa; Mollusca; Cephalopoda; Sepiida; Sepiidae
Source: the annotation of a GenBank genome assembly